AUUUUCCGGCCGCGCGGCUUGUGGAUGUGUAUCAUCUUUCACAUGAUAAACUAUUAUUACAAACUUCACGUGACUAACAGGGAGAGAAUACACAAGCUAUACAAACCUGGGGAAAUCAACGGUUAUCAUAAAGUCAGCCGAUAUCUCGUCCUCAGGUAAAGAAUUAUAAUGGGCAAGGGUGAAGGAGGCGCCGCCGGACUUUUGUGGGCUUUUCUGUGGUUUCUGGUUUUAAUAUUCCUCGGAUGGCCGAUCGGGUUCUUCAUCGCUUGGUUGUAUGUGCUUCUACUUCCGUUUGGAGCGUGUAUUGCGCCAAUCAAAGACGUCAAUCAACAGAUACUCAGAGUUGUGCAACUUCCGUUGACAUGCGCAGAGAAUAUGGUUGGAAUGAAACCAAUGUGUUAAACAUACAAUUUUAAAAUGUACUCUUGCAAACUACACUUUUAGGCAGCAAAGUACAAAUGUUAUUUAUUUUAUAUCGAACGUUUAUAUUUUUAAAUAAAUGUUGUGCCUGCAUGCAUGCAAUUUACAUUUUUGUAUUCAAACCAUACAAACAAAUAAAUAUGAUGAUUAUUAUUA
Molecule: long non-coding RNA, 576 nt
Organism: Saccostrea echinata
Lineage: Eukaryota; Metazoa; Mollusca; Bivalvia; Ostreida; Ostreidae
Exons: 2
Source: RefSeq, a predicted model, not a curated record